This 497-nucleotide ribosomal RNA is filed under the name uncultured bacterium. RNAcentral's name for it is "partial 16S ribosomal RNA". It matches the Rfam family "Bacterial small subunit ribosomal RNA", at positions 28 to 507 of the family's 1533-position model. The record is from RNAcentral.
GAUGAACGCUGGCGGCGUGCCUAAUACAUGCAAGUCGAGCGAACAGAUAAGGAGCUUGCUCCUUUGACGUUAGCGGCGGACGGGUGAGUAACACGUGGGUAACCUACCUAUAAGACUGGAAUAACUCCGUGAAACCGGGGCUAAUGCCGGAUAACAUUUAGAACCUCAUGGUUCUAAAGUGAAAGAUGGUUUUGCUAUCACUUAUAGAUGGACCCGCGCCGUAUUAGCUAGUUGGUAAGGUAACGGCUUACCAAGGCAACGAUACGUAGCCGACCUGAGAGGGUGAACGGACACACGGGAACUGAGACACGGUCAAGACUCCGACGGGAGGCAGCAGAAGGGAAUCUUCCGCAAUGGGCGAAAGCCUGACGGAGCAACGCCGCGUGAGUGAUGAAGGACUUCGGAUCGUAAAACUCUGUUAUUAGGGAAGAACAAAUGUGUAAGUAACUGUGCACGUAUUGACGGUACCUAAACAGAAAGCCACGGCUAACUACGUG